GCUGACACAUAAUUAACCCAAACAUACAACAACACAAUAAAACAAAACAUUUGACCCACCAAGUAGAUGAGAUCGAACAGUCAACAAAAUAAUGAAAGUACCGCAAGGGAACCACUUAAGCAAAAAACAGCAAAGAUUAACCCUUGUACCUUUCGUAUCAUGGUCCAGCAAGAAACACAAGACAAGAAGAAUCAUAGCCUCCACCCCGAAACCAGAUGAGCUACUUUAAAGCAGCCUAAUGGGCACACCCUUCUCUGUAGCAAAAGAGUGGGAAGACUUAAAAGUAGAAGUGAAACGCUUACCGAAUCUGGAGAUAGCUGGCUACCCAAAAAAGAAUCUAAGUUCAACCUUAAACCAAAACAAUAACUAUUUAUUAUAUAAGGACAAUCAAUAGGGGUACAGCCCUAUUGACACAGGAUACAACCUGAAUUUGAGAGAAAACAACCUCUAUAAACCCAGUAGGCCUUAAAGCAGCCAACUAACAAAAUAUCGUUAAAGAAUUUAACCAAAAAUUCAAACAUUAACUAAAAACUCCAAACUAACUAAAGGUAGACCCAUACCAUAUGGGUGUUAUUAUGCUAGAACUAAUAAUAAGACAACCUCUCUAUAUGCACCUAUCUGCUAGACCCGGAUAAACCACUAGCCAUUAACAGACCAUAAUAGGCAUAAACUAACCACUUACACACCUCAAAAUAAACUGUGACCCCGACACAGGCGCAUUAUAAAGAAAGAUCAACCAUUAUAAAAGGAACUCGGCAAACAAAGACCCCAACUGUUUAACAAAAACAUAACCUUUAGCCUAACAAAUAUUAAAGGCAACGCCUGCCCAGUGAACAAUUAAACGGCCGCGGUACCCUAACCGUGCAAAGGUAGCGUAAUCAUUUGUCUACUAAUUAUAGACCUGUAUGAAAGGCAAAAUGAGGGUCCAACUGUCUCUUAUAAUAAAUCAAUUAAACUGAUCUCCUAGUAAAAAAGCUAGAAUGACAACAUAAGACGAGAAGACCCUGUGAAGCUUAAACUAAACUAUUAAAACGCAUAAUAGCUACUUUCGGUUGGGGCGACCUUGGAAAAAAAAAGAACUUCCAAACACCAUGACUUUACCUCAUACCACAAAACCAGGCCAACAAGCCAACAAAUGACCCAGCACUGCUGAUAAUUGAACCAAGUUACUCCAGGGAUAACAGCGCAAUCUUCUUCAAGAGCCCAUAUCAAAAAGAAGGUUUACGACCUCGAUGUUGGAUCAGGACAUCCUAAUGGUGCAGCCGCUAUUAAGGGUUCGUUUGUUCAACGAUUAAUAGUCCUACGUGAUCUGAGUUCAGACCGGAGCAAUCCAGGUCGGUUUCUAUCUAUGAAUAUGCUCCAUCCAGUACGAAAGGACAGAUAAAGCAAAGCCACUACUACCAGCACGCUUUAACAAAACAUAAACCACAACCUAAAACCACCUUUUUGAAACCCAAACCUAGACAAGGUUAAUUAAGACAACACCUUA
Molecule: ribosomal RNA, 1489 nt
Filed under: Elaphe taeniura (beauty snake)
Lineage: Eukaryota; Metazoa; Chordata; Lepidosauria; Squamata; Colubridae
Description: 16S ribosomal RNA
Rfam family: Bacterial large subunit ribosomal RNA
Source: RNAcentral